AAUCAAGACCAGAUGGCGAGCCAGAGCCACAGGGCAGAGUAGCGUCAGGACAACUUUCGCCACCAGAGGGAGCUCAGCUGGUCUAGAUCAGAGCAAGCCAAAGAUGAAUGUCCCAACAGCUGCAGAGAAAGAAAGAGGGCUCACGAGCAGAGAGUAUCAGGGGUCUUCACCAUAUCAGAGUCAUGAAGGGGGCAUUUGGUUUGUAUGGGUAGAGGCGUGGCCCGUGGAAAAGUCGUCCCCAUAUCCGCUUAAAUCCAUUAGGUCUGUCCUGAGAAGCAAUCCACAUGCGAAGGGUUUUUCGGAGUUGAAGUUCCUCUGCGUCUGUCCCUACACGACACAACUACCUCUACUGCACCCCCACUGCGUCAGUCCGACAUAUGAUGCCAGGGCAGCUGCGUAUUGCCUGCCGGCCCUGGUCACAUUUAGAGGCGAUAGAACCAAAAGGGAUUCCAGGAUGUUGUGUGGACCCUUUUAGAGUCAAAUUGUUGACUGCUCUGUAACGAUUCUUACAAAGCUACAAGGAAAGCCUCUACUUUGAUGGGAUUUAGGAAGGUACCUCAUUGAAUUUAAGUCGUGUUUGGAAUUGUGAACCAUAUACUUGCAAACACAUUUUCCAGUAUUGAAUGUUGGGGAUUGUCAUGGGCAUCGGGGUGGGAG
Molecule: long non-coding RNA, 657 nt
Organism: Cyprinus carpio (common carp)
Lineage: Eukaryota; Metazoa; Chordata; Actinopteri; Cypriniformes; Cyprinidae
Source: Ensembl